GUGGGGAAUAUUGCACAAUGGGCGCAAGCCUGAUGCAGCCAUGCCGCGUGUGUGAAGAAGGCCUUCGGGUUGUAAAGCACUUUCAGCGAGGAGGAAGGGUUCAGUGUUAAUAGCACUGUUCAUUGACGUUACUCGCAGAAGAAGCACCGGCUAACUCCGUGCCAGCAGCCGCGGUAAUACGGAGGGUGCAAGCGUUAAUCGGAAUUACUGGGCGUAAAGCGCACGCAGGCGGUUUGUUAAGUCAGAUGUGAAAUCCCCGCGCUUAACGUGGGAA
This 274-nucleotide ribosomal RNA is filed under the name uncultured bacterium. RNAcentral's name for it is "partial 16S ribosomal RNA". It matches the Rfam family "Bacterial small subunit ribosomal RNA", at positions 354 to 620 of the family's 1533-position model. The record is from RNAcentral.